This 464-nucleotide unclassified non-coding RNA is filed under the name Anelosimus domingo. RNAcentral describes it as "partial contains 16S ribosomal RNA and tRNA-Leu (trnL)". The stretch from base 61 to 360 matches the Rfam family "Bacterial large subunit ribosomal RNA", at positions 2074 to 2646 of the family's 2925-position model. Lineage: Eukaryota; Metazoa; Arthropoda; Arachnida; Araneae; Theridiidae. The record is from RNAcentral.
AUUUCUUUAUUAAUUUUUUAUAAAUAAUUUAUAUUAAAUAUAAAAAUAUAUUUUUAAAUAAAAAAGACGACAAGACCCUAUUAAAUUUAACUUAUAGUUUAGCUGGGGAAGCUUUUUAAAUAAAAUUUUUAUAUAAUUUUUAAAAAUAUAUUUAAUAAAAUUAAAAAUAAAAUAAAUUACUAUAGGGAUAACAGCGUUAUAUUUUUUAAAAGUUCUUAUUUAAAAAAAUGAUUGCGACCUCGAUGUUGAAUUAUAUUUUCUAUAUUAAUGCAAUAAUUAUAAAAGUAGAUCUGUUCGAUCUUUAAAAUAUUACAUGAUUUGAGUUCAAACCGGUGUAAACCAGGUUGGUUUCUAUCUUUUUAUAUAUAUAUAUAUUUUUUUAGUACGAAAGGAAAAAAAAAUUUUUAUUUUAAUUAUUUAGCAAAUUAAUAUGCAUUAGAUUUAGAAUCUAAAUAAAAUAUUAU